Molecule: ribosomal RNA, 636 nt
Filed under: Triticum aestivum (bread wheat)
Lineage: Eukaryota; Viridiplantae; Streptophyta; Magnoliopsida; Poales; Poaceae
Description: partial small subunit ribosomal RNA
Source: RNAcentral
AUGCAAGAAGAAAGGCUGCCGUUUUGUGCGACCUGGACGAGCAAAGUUGGAUCUCUCGUACAACCAACUGCACGGGGAAAUACCACAAAAUGGAGUAUUUGUUAUUUGGGUGACUUUGGCAUUGCAAACCUCGUGUGUAAUUCAAACUCAACAUCAGUUGGACAUUCCAGUUCAGCCUCAACUUCAGAUAGCCCAAUCGGAUUGAAGGGAACUAUAGGAUAUAUUGCCCCAGAGUAUGCUCAAACUGGCCAAGCAUCAACCAAUGGGGAUGUUUUCAGUUUUGGAAUAGUUCUUCUAGAGAUGUUGAUAGGUAAAAGACCAACAGACCCUAUGUUUGACAACGAACUCAACAUUGUCAAUUUCGCAGAGAGGAACUCCCCAGAUCAGAUAUUAGAAAUCAUUGAUGCUCACCUACAAGAAGAAUGCAAGGGAUUCAUUGGUGCAUCAGCGGAAGCAGGAGACUUGGUAUAUCAGUGCUUGGUGUCCCUUGUGCAAGUAGCUCUAUCUUGCACGCGUCUGUCUCCAAGAGAGCGAAUGAACAUGAGAGAAGUAGCCAUUGCACGCAGCCAGAACAUCAUAUAUAUGUUGGAGCAACCAAGCGAGAGCAAGUUAUGCCACGCUAGAGUGAUUUGGUAA